RNAcentral lists this transfer RNA (74 nucleotides) under Ignavibacteriaceae bacterium. RNAcentral describes it as "tRNA-Pro". It matches the Rfam family "tRNA". Rfam says of the family: Transfer RNA (tRNA) molecules are approximately 80 nucleotides in length. Their secondary structure includes four short double-helical elements and three loops (D, anti-codon, and T loops). The record is from RNAcentral. Lineage: Bacteria; Pseudomonadati; Ignavibacteriota; Ignavibacteria; Ignavibacteriales; Ignavibacteriaceae.
CUGGAUGUAGCCUAAUUGGCAAGGCGCUUGGUUUGGGGCCAAGAGAUUGUGAGUUCAAGUCUCACCUUCCAGAC